GAUUAAGAACGUAGCGAAAUGUGAUAAGUAAUGUGAAUUGCAGAAUCUCGUGAAUCAUCGAAUCUUUGAACGCACAUUGCGCCCAAUGGUAUUCCAUUGGGCAUACCUGUUUGAGUAUCAGAAUCCUUUCAAUUAUCAAACUUUUAUAUAUAGAGAUGUAUGUAAAGAUGUUUGGAAUAAAGUUGAGAAAAGUAGUAUUGUUUAUAAUAUUACUUUCUUAAAAACCAGAAAUAUUAUGUUUUGAUUUUUCUUCACCUCAUUUUGUAUGAAAUUUUAACAAAUGAGUAUGAGUAAAAAUAACAAUACUUUGGAUGACCUCAAAUCAGGUAGGGAUACCCGCUGAACUUAAGCAUAUCAAUAAGCGGAGGA
Molecule: unclassified non-coding RNA, 369 nt
Filed under: soil metagenome
Description: partial contains 5.8S ribosomal RNA, internal transcribed spacer 2, and large subunit ribosomal RNA
Rfam family: 5.8S ribosomal RNA (bases 1-120)
Source: RNAcentral